RNAcentral lists this ribosomal RNA (350 nucleotides) under Billgrantia desiderata. RNAcentral's name for it is "bacterial SSU rRNA". It matches the Rfam family "Bacterial small subunit ribosomal RNA", at positions 1182 to 1533 of the family's 1533-position model. The record is from RNAcentral. Lineage: Bacteria; Pseudomonadati; Pseudomonadota; Gammaproteobacteria; Oceanospirillales; Halomonadaceae.
GNGUCUGUNUCAUGGCCCUUACGGGUAGGGCUCACACGUGCUACAAUGGUCAGUACAAAGGGUUGCGAACUUGCGAGAGUGAGCCAAUCCCAGAAAGCUGAUCUCAGUCCGGAUCGGAGUCUGCAACUCGACUCCGUGAAGUCGGAAUCGCUAGUAAUCGUGAAUCAGAAUGUCACGGUGAAUACGUUCCCGGGCCUUGUACACACCGCCCGUCACACCAUGGGAGUGGACUGCACCAGAAGUGGUUAGCCUAACCUUCGGGAGGGCGAUCACCACGGUGUGGUUCAUGACUGGGGUGAAGUCGUAACAAGGUAGCCGUAGGGGAACCUGCGGUUGGAUCACACCNNUAA